RNAcentral lists this ribosomal RNA (1375 nucleotides) under uncultured bacterium. RNAcentral describes it as "bacterial SSU rRNA". It matches the Rfam family "Bacterial small subunit ribosomal RNA", at positions 29 to 1394 of the family's 1533-position model. The record is from RNAcentral.
UUGAACGCUGGCGGUAUGCUUAACACAUGCAAGUCGAACGGAAACGAUACUAGCUUGCUAGUAGGCGUCGAGUGGCGGACGGGUGAGUAACGCGUAGGAAUCUGCCUGAUAGUGGGGGAUAGCCCGAAGAAAUUCGGAUUAAUACCGCAUAAUCUAUUCGUAGUAAAGUGGGGGACUUUCGAGCCUCACGCUAUCAGAUGAGCCUGCGUAAGAUUAGCUUGUUGGUAGGGUAAAAGCCUACCAAGGCGACGAUCUUUAGCUGGUCUGAGAGGAUGAUCAGCCACAUCGGGACUGAGACACGGCCCGAACUCCUACGGGAGGCAGCAGUGGGGAAUAUUGGACAAUGGGGGCAACCCUGAUCCAGCAAUACCGCGUGUGUGAAGAAGGCCUGAGGGUUGUAAAGCACUUUCAAUUGUGAAGAAAAGUUAGCGGUUAAUAACCGUUAGCCUUGACGUUAACUUUAGAAGAAGCACCGGCUAACUCCGUGCCAGCAGCCGCGGUAAUACGGAGGGUGCAAGCGUUAAUCGGAAUUACUGGGCGUAAAGCGUGCGUAGGCGGUUUAUUAAGUCAGAUGUGAAAGCCCCGGGCUUAACCUGGGAACUGCAUUUGAAACUGGUCAACUAGAGUAUGGUAGAGGAAAGUGGAAUUUCUGGUGUAGCGGUGAAAUGCGUAGAUAUCAGAAGGAACAUCAAUGGCGAAAGGCAGCUUUCUGGACCAAUACUGACGCUGAGGUACGAAAGCGUGGGUAGCAAACAGGAUUAGAUACCCUGGUAGUCCACGCCGUAAACGAUGAUAACUAGCCGUUGGGGGGAUUUACCCUUUAGUGGCGAAGCUAACGCGUUAAGUUAUCCGCCUGGGGAGUACGGCCGCAAGGUUAAAACUCAAAGGAAUUGACGGGGACCCGCACAAGCGGUGGAGCAUGUGGUUUAAUUCGAUGCAACGCGAAGAACCUUACCUGGUCUUGACAUCCUGCGAACUUUCUAGAAAUAGAUUGGUGCCUUCGGGAACGCAGUGACAGGUGCUGCAUGGCUGUCGUCAGCUCGUGUCGUGAGAUGUUGGGUUAAGUCCCGUAACGAGCGCAACCCCUAUCCUUAUUUGCCAGCACGUCAUGGUGGGAACUAUAAGGAGACUGCCGGUGAUAAACCGGAGGAAGGCGGGGACGACGUCAAGUCAUCAUGGCCCUUACGACCAGGGCUACACACGUGCUACAAUGGGAAGGACAAAGAGCCGCGAAGCCGCGAGGUGUAGCUAAUCUCAUAAACCUUUUCGUAGUCCGGAUUGGAGUCUGCAACUCGACUCCAUGAAGUCGGAAUCGCUAGUAAUCGUAGAUCAGAAUGCUACGGUGAAUACGUUCCCGGGUCUUGUACACACCGCC